Molecule: ribosomal RNA, 47 nt
Filed under: Parasola auricoma
Lineage: Eukaryota; Fungi; Basidiomycota; Agaricomycetes; Agaricales; Psathyrellaceae
Description: partial 28S ribosomal RNA
Source: RNAcentral
AUCUGCGCCGCCGGUUUGGAGACCUUAGACCAGCUUCUAACCGUCCU